UUCCGGUUGAUCCCGCCGGACCUGACUGCUAUCGGAUUGAUACUAAGCCAUGCGAGUCAUUGUAGUAAUACAAGGCAGACGGCUCAGUAACGCCGUAGUCAACCUAACCUAUGGACGGGAAUAACCUCGGGAAACUGAGUAUAAUGCCCGAUAGAACAUUAUGCCUGGAAUGGUUUAUGUUCCAAAUGAUUUAUCGCCGUAGGAUGGGACUGCGGCCUAUCAGUUUGUUGGUGAGGUAAUGGCCCACCAAGACUAUUACAGGUACGGGCUCUGAGAGGAGUAGCCCGGAGAUGGGUACUGAGACACGGACCCAGGCCCUAUGGGGCGCAGCAGGCGAGAAAACUUUGCAAUGUGCGAAAGCACGACAAGGUUAAUCCGAGUGGUUUCUGCUAAAGGAACCUUUUGUCAGUCCUAGAAACACUGAUGAAUAAGGGGUGGGCAAGUUCUGGUGUCAGCCGCCGCGGUAAAACCAGAACCUCAAGUGGUCAGGAUCGAUUAUUGGGCCUAAAGCAAUCCGUAGCCGGCUCUGUAAGUUUUACGGUUUAAACUCUGUACCGCCUAUAACCGUACCAGGGCUUGCCGGG
Molecule: ribosomal RNA, 584 nt
Filed under: uncultured archaeon
Lineage: Archaea
Description: bacterial SSU rRNA
Rfam family: Archaeal small subunit ribosomal RNA
Source: RNAcentral